This 1008-nucleotide long non-coding RNA is filed under the name Marmota monax (woodchuck). Lineage: Eukaryota; Metazoa; Chordata; Mammalia; Rodentia; Sciuridae. The record is from RNAcentral.
CUUGACAUUACACAAUUGGACAGUAGGUUAAGCCGUCUCUAUGAAGAUUUCUUCUCUGCAUCUGAUGUUGGACCUUGAAGUCCAUAGACCCAACUAGUCAAGAAGGGGAAAAUGGUAAAGCAAGGGAGAUAAAGAAGAGGCUAGAACCCACAAACACAAGCUGGAACCUCUUGAGGUUGGACUAAAAUGCUUAUAAGUUCCUCUUGCCUCUACCUCUAAGUGACCUUGGCAACAAAACUAAACACACACACAUGGUCCAGAACUCAGAGAAGCUCAGGGAGAAUGAGGGAAAGCAGAGCAGUUACAGAUCCAGCUGCAGCUUCACACCAACAGAGGCAAGUCAGCAGAUCAGCUGCAAGGCAUGUGAGCUAGGAAAGGACUGUUGCUUUCCUUCUGUCUUUCAAGUCUUCCAGGAAUCUUCCUUGUAGCUCACUGGAACUAGAAACCUUUUUAACAAGUGAAUUCUGGGAAAUGUAGUUUAGCGUAGACAAGUGGGCAUAUUGCAAAGCCAUCCAAAGAAGCAUCUAAUUCAUGUUGCAGGAGAACAUUAGAAAAUGUUUUCAGGGUAAGUAACAUUUGAACUCAGUCUUUAAGAGUGAUCAGGACUUAAUCGGGAAGGGGAAAUGGCAAUUAAGGCAGACACGAAGAAUGAAAAAGGCUAGUAUCAGAAAUAUGGAAAUAUGGUAAAAAGCCAAUACCCAAAGCCACAGGGAAUAUAGUAGUAGUCAAAAUUGAUUACUUUAACCUGCUAAUUUAAGCAAAGGAGAAUGCAUGGCAAGGAGAUGAUGGGGCAUCUUUGCAGAAGGAAUUUGGGAAAGGCUUAUUGUAGAAGUGGGGCUGGUGAUGCAUGAUUCUAAAGAGGAGUUAAGAAAACAGAGGUCACUUCUGGUUUCAGUGCUUUCUGGAAGUAUUAGGUAUCAUGGUGGACUCAACUACAUCCUCCCAAAAUUCACAUAUAAAGUCCUAAUCCCCAGGAUCACAUAAUGUGACUUUAUUGGUAGAUAGUGC